This is a non-coding RNA of Prunus avium (sweet cherry), 448 nucleotides long. The record is from RefSeq and is a predicted model, not a curated record. Lineage: Eukaryota; Viridiplantae; Streptophyta; Magnoliopsida; Rosales; Rosaceae.
GUUUCUAUCCUGCAGCUGACGAGAGCAGAUUUGACCAAGAGGGUUAGAAACAGAAGCACAGAAAAUCCACCUUAGUGAAUGAUGAAAGCCAAAGAUUGGUCAGAAAGCAAGCACUAGGAGAAAAGGACAUUGGGAGAGCAACCAUAACUCACAACUUGUUUGUACACUUGGGUUUUUCCUCUGUGUGAAUGAAGUCAUCCGACAGAGUUUGAAUAAUAUUUGCAUGGGAAAUUGGACCAAAGACUAGUCCAACUGACUCACUGAGAGGACUGAAGAAUUUACCAUUCAAGAGUGAUUUUCUUUUGCCCGUAUGGGUUCUCUGGGCACCCCAAAUGGGGUCACCUUUUUAUAUUAUCUUAGAUUCUUAUGCAUUUGAUAAGACUCACUACUAAAAAAUUGAGAUGUGAUCAUUGGAAUGGAUAUGGAUGAGGUAAAUGUAGAAAUUGCA